RNAcentral lists this non-coding RNA (163 nucleotides) under Jonquetella anthropi. Lineage: Bacteria; Thermotogati; Synergistota; Synergistia; Synergistales; Dethiosulfovibrionaceae. RNAcentral also lists the same sequence under 1 other name. The record is from RNAcentral.
UACAAAGAAACCUCGCUGGGUGAUCGGGAAGUCCGGUAAAAAGCCGGCGCGGACCCGCCACUGUAUGCUUGACUGCGGAACAGCAAACCACUGGAAGUUUUCCGGGAAGGUGUUCCAAAGAGCGAUAGCAAGCCAGGAGACCGGCCUAGCGAGGCGCGCAAAA